GGGGCUGUAGCUCAGUGGUAGAGCACUUGCCUGGCAUGUGUGAGGCACUGGGUUCAAUCCUCAGUACCA
RNAcentral lists this transfer RNA (69 nucleotides) under Urocitellus parryii (Arctic ground squirrel). RNAcentral's name for it is "Spermophilus parryii (Arctic ground squirrel) tRNA". It matches the Rfam family "tRNA". From Rfam's summary of the family: Transfer RNA (tRNA) molecules are approximately 80 nucleotides in length. Their secondary structure includes four short double-helical elements and three loops (D, anti-codon, and T loops). Further hydrogen bonds mediate the characteristic L-shaped molecular structure. tRNAs have two regions of fundamental functional importance: the anti-codon, which is responsible for specific mRNA codon recognition, and the 3' end, to which the tRNAs corresponding amino acid is attached (by aminoacyl-tRNA synthetases). tRNAs cope with the degeneracy of the genetic code in two manners: having more than one tRNA (with a specific anti-codon) for a particular amino acid; and 'wobble' base-pairing, i.e. permitting non-standard base-pairing at the 3rd anti-codon position. The record is from Rfam by way of RNAcentral. Lineage: Eukaryota; Metazoa; Chordata; Mammalia; Rodentia; Sciuridae. RNAcentral also lists the same sequence under 2 other names.